Molecule: long non-coding RNA, 711 nt
Organism: Micropterus salmoides (largemouth bass)
Lineage: Eukaryota; Metazoa; Chordata; Actinopteri; Centrarchiformes; Centrarchidae
Exons: 3
Source: RefSeq, a predicted model, not a curated record
UGACUGAAUUUAAACGAGCCACUUGUAAGACAGAUGUGUGGUGACAAGGAAAGAAAGAGGGAAGUAAGGAUAGCAGAAACUGUGCAUGUUUGAGUAAGAAAAUAUUAAACUCAGCUUCAGGGAGCUAUGGUAAAUAGGCCUGAGCACUGGUAGCUAAACUGCUGUUAAACCAAAAUAGAUUUGGAGUAAAGCCGCCAGGUGUUUCAGGUUAAAGGAAAUAUAGCAAAAGCCUAGCCUUCAUUUUCAUACCAUCCUGUAGCUACAGGAGUGAGCGUGUAAUGCACAUUUUGAGCACUCUUUCCUGUCCCUCCUCUUUUCCUGUAUGACUACCCCACAACACUUUCUCCACCCGCUCUCCCUGUCUUUUGGACACUCAUGCAGUGUGACUCAGCGCUGGUACAGUCUGUCCUCUCUAUCUUCCCUGCAUCUGGUCCAUUGUAGCAGAUCACGCAUGUUUUCUUGUCCACCAGCUCUCUAUGCUGACACAGUGUGUCCUCCAGUGCCCUGGCUGCCUGCUAUCUCUGCUGACCCAAGGAUAAGCUCAUCAGGCGACAAUGGCUCCACUAGAGACAGAUGACACUGCUUUCCAAAAUGUUAUACUCACACAACGGAGCAGGCGUAGCAUCCCUGUUUGCUGCUCUCACGGAUGAGGAACGUUCCAGGAGCUUUCCCCUGAAGCAUCUCCUCGGCCUGCGUCCGGCUCAGUUCACC